AGCGCAGGAAAAGAAACCAACAGGGAUUGCCCCAGUAACGGCGAGUGAAGCGGCAACAGCUCAAAUUUGAAAUCUGGCUUCGGCCCGAGUUGUAAUUUGCAGAGGAAGCUUUAGGCGCGGCACCAUCUGAGUCCCCUGGAACGGGGCGCCAAAGAGGGUGAGAGCCCCGUAUAGAUGGACGCCUAGCCUGUGUAAAGCUCCUUCGACGAGUCGAGUAGUUUGGGAAUGCUGUUCAAAAUGGGAGGUAAAUUUCUUCUAAAGCUAAAUAUUGGCCAGAGACCGAUAGCGCACAAGUAGAGUGAUCGAAAGAUGAAAAGCACUUUGAAAAGAGGGUUAAAUAGCACGUGAAAUUGUUGAAAGGGAAGCGCUUGUGACCAGACUUGCGCCGGGCGGAUCAUCCGGUGUUCUCACCGGUGCACUCCGCCCGGCUCAGGCCAGCAUCGGUUCUCGUGGGGGGAUAAAGGCACCGGGAACGUAGCUCCUCCGGGAGUGUUAUAGCCCGGGGCGUAAUGCCCUCGCGGGGACCGAGGACCGCGCUUCUGCAAGGAUGCUGGCGUAAUGGUCAUCAGCGACCCGUCUUGAAACACGGACCAAGGAGUCAAGGUUUUGCGCGAGUGUUUGGGUGCAAAACCCGCACGCGUAAUGAAAGUGAACGUAGUGAGAGCUUCGGCGCAUCAUCGACCGAUCCUGAUGUUCUCGGAUGGAUUUGA
This 710-nucleotide ribosomal RNA is filed under the name uncultured Zopfiella. Its description in RNAcentral is "eukaryotic LSU rRNA". It matches the Rfam family "Eukaryotic large subunit ribosomal RNA", at positions 49 to 793 of the family's 3401-position model. Lineage: Eukaryota; Fungi; Ascomycota; Sordariomycetes; Sordariales; Chaetomiaceae. The record is from RNAcentral.